This is an RNA transcript of Numida meleagris (helmeted guineafowl), 3231 nucleotides long. It is a transcript of the gene named tec protein tyrosine kinase, with no coding region annotated. NCBI's taxonomy places the organism in Eukaryota, Metazoa, Chordata, Aves, Galliformes, Numididae. The record is from RefSeq and is a predicted model, not a curated record. The transcript is spliced from 20 exons.
CGCCCCGCGCUCCGCCCCGCCCCGCCCCGCCCCGCGCUCCCUCCGCCGCCGCCCGCCGCAGCGGAGUAGUGCCUUCCGCAUUGCUCCGUACCGCCGGCUCACGGUCUCUUCCGCGGCGGUGCUCGGGAGCCGCAGGAACCGAUAUUCAAUGGCUAGAAACAGGUGACAAGUGGCUGAAAUGAAUAUGACUGCUAUUCUACAAGAGAUCUUGAUUAAAAGGUCGCAGCAGAAGAAGAGGACUUCUCCCUUAAACUACAAAGAGAGGCUUUUUGUACUUACAAAUUCUAUGUUAACAUAUUAUGAAGGUCGAGCAGAGAAAAAGUACAGAAAAGGAUCUGUGGAUAUUUCAAGGAUUAAAUGUGUGGAAGUUGUACAAAAUGAUGGUAUUAUUCCCUGUCAAAAUAAAUAUCCGUUUCAGGUUGUAUAUGAUGCUAAUACACUUUAUAUUUUUGCACCAAGUGCACAAAGCCGGGAUCAGUGGGUGAGGAAUCUGAAAGAAGGAAUAAAGAACAACAGCAAUAUAAUGAUAAAAUAUCAUCCUAAAUUCUGGACAGAGGGAAUUUAUCAGUGCUGCAGACAGACAGAAAAAUUAGCACCUGGCUGUGAAAAAUACAAUCUUUUUGAAAAUAGUGUAGUAACGCUGCCCUCUCCAAUGCCAGCAAAAAGUACGCGAAGGCCACCACCACCUGUUCCUCCAGCUGAGGAAAAUGACAAUGAAGAGGAGGAGAUAGUGGUUGCGAUGUAUGACUUCCAGCCUACAGAACGUCAUGAUUUAAGGUUAGAUAAAGGUGAAGAAUACAUAGUAAUCGAGAAGAAUGACAUUCACUGGUGGAAGGCGAGAGACAAACAUGGGUUUGAAGGUUAUAUCCCAAGCAACUAUGUAACGGGAAAGAAGUCCAACAACCUUGAUCAAUAUGAGUGGUACAGCAGAAACCUGAACCGCAGCAAGGCAGAGCAGCUCCUUAGAAACGAGGACAAAGAAGGUGGUUUUGUGGUGAGAGAUUCAAGUCAGCCUGGCCUGUAUACAGUUUCCCUUUAUACAAAAUUUGGAGGAGAAGGUUCAUCGGGAAUAAGACACUACCAUAUAAAAGAAACAGUGACAUCACCGAAGCAAUACUACCUUGCAGAAAAACAUCUUUUUAACUCCAUUCCAGAAAUAAUUGAGUAUCACAAACAUAAUGCAGCAGGUCUUGUUACCAGGCUGCGUUACCCAGUGACCCCAAAGAAGACAACAGCACCAACAACUGCUGGAUUCAGCUAUGAGAAAUGGGAAAUUAAUCCAUCAGAGCUGACUUUCAUGAGAGAACUGGGGAGUGGCCUGUUUGGAGUAGUGCGCCUUGGGAAAUGGAGAGCACAGUACAAAGUGGCCAUCAAAGCAAUUCGGGAAGGUGCGAUGUAUGAAGAGGAUUUUAUUGAGGAAGCCAAAGUAAUGAUGAAACUAACACAUCCUAAGUUAGUUCAGCUGUAUGGUGUAUGCACGCAACAGAGACCCAUCUACAUAGUGACAGAGUUCAUGGAGCAUGGCUGCCUUCUGAAUUACCUAAGACAAAAACGUGGGGUUUUGAGUAAAGAUGUCCUGCUCACAAUGUGCCAAGAUGUCUGUGAGGGAAUGGAAUACCUGGAGAGGAACAGCUUUAUCCACAGAGACCUGGCUGCCAGGAACUGCUUGGUGAAUGAUUUGGGAGUGGUCAAAGUGUCUGAUUUUGGGAUGACAAGGUAUGUCCUUGAUGAUCAAUACACGAGCUCCUCGGGGGCUAAAUUUCCUGUGAAGUGGUGCCCACCAGAAGUGUUUAAUUACAGCCGAUUCAGCAGCAAGUCAGAUGUCUGGUCAUUCGGUGUUUUAAUGUGGGAAGUGUUUACAGAAGGAAAAAUGCCCUUUGAAAAAAGUUCCAACUAUGAUGUGGUAACUAUGGUUAGCCAAGGACAUCGCUUGUACCGCCCCAAACUGGCCUGUAAGCAGGUAUAUGAAGUCAUGAUGAUGUGCUGGCAGGAGGUGGUGUGAGAGAGACAUAAAGAGAAAAGGAAAAGAAGGUGCUCCUUGAACUGCUGCAGAUAAUACAUAAAAAAACCAGGAUGUGGGGGAUUGGACUAGAUGAUCUUUCAAGGUCCCUUCCAAUCCCUGACAUUCUGUGAUUCUAAACCAGAGGGACGCCCAACUUUUGAAGACUUGCUCCAUAUAAUCGUUGACAUUGCAGAGGGUGAAGAUGCUUUCUGAGAAAAGGCAAUAUCAGCACAAGUACAGAAAAGAAACCACUUUCCAGAGUUGUCUUCACUGUUUCUUUUUAAAGGCUCGGUCCUGGAUGCUGCUAGAUGCUGCUAAACAGUGUGGGGAGCCUGUAAUGUUUAGUUUGCUUCAAUACAAGGGGAGUUUUACAUGAUGCUGGGAAAUAAGCAAAGUAUCUUCAGCAAUAAUAGCAGUCUGUACUUUCUCUGAAAAAUCGGUGUUGUGUAGCCAGCUCCUUGUGGAGGAAGAAAGUAAAAAAGACCCAAGUCUGGGAGCUUAAUUUGCGUUUACGGAUUUGGGUUCAUGUACAUAUGAUCCAUGUUUCUGAAUUUCUCUUUAUACAGGUAGUAGCAGUAGUGAUGUGCAUGCUUAAAAAUUGAAGGUUUCUAUUUACUGACAUUCCAAUGUUUCAGGAUUCUCCAGAAACACUAUUCUUCUCAGUUGAUGGAUGUUUUAUGACACACCAGGAACACAAAAUGUGCCUCUUUCAUUUGCAUGUAAUAGGUUGUUAACAGUACAGUCUUCAGUUCGGUGUAACACUCAAAAGUGUUGCUUCAGGACUGAACCAUGACGUGCCCUGAGCCAUUCUAGGCUAUUUGGUGAAUGAAAGACCUUCCAAUGUUGGUCAUGACAUUACUCAUGAAAAAAUCAGUCCAAGAUUCAGCACAACUAGCUGCCAACGUACCACAGUACCUUGUUUUAGAUCAAUUAUAAAAUAAUUUAUAUGCUGUAUGUAUUGUAAAUAUAUAAAUUCAAUGCUUUUAUUUAUAUUAACUGUUUUCCACUUGACAUUUUCAAACACAAAUUUGUCCCACCUUCACUUACAACCCAUGUCUAGAGUUGUGUAUGGAAAUGAGAGAAAAUGUACUCUUAAACGUGGUAAAGGAGGGUUUGUCUUUCUGUCUGUCAUUUGUAUGUACAUCGAUUUAAGGUUUCUAUUCUUAACAGACAACAUUGUACUACAUGUGUAUAUAAAUAAAUUGAAUGUUAACUGUUGUUUGGAACAA